Molecule: ribosomal RNA, 132 nt
Filed under: uncultured bacterium
Lineage: Bacteria
Description: partial 16S rRNA
Rfam family: Bacterial small subunit ribosomal RNA
Source: RNAcentral
CCUACGGGAGGCAGCAGUAAGGAAUAUUGGUCAAUGGACGCAAGUCUGAACCAGCCAUGCCGCGUGAAGGAUUAAGGUCCUCUGGAUUGUAAACUUCUUUUAUCUGGACGAAAAAAGGCGAUUGUCGACAUC